GGCUUCUUGGUCUAGUGGUAUGAUUCCUGCUUUGGGUUCUCACUCAUCACCAGCGUCUGUUCAGCAGCGCCGGCGAGCAACGAGUGACACGCCGUAUGCAGGAGGUCCCCGGUUCGAUCCCGGGAGGAGCCC
Zalaria obscura is the source of this 132-nucleotide non-coding RNA. The record is from the annotation of a GenBank genome assembly. Lineage: Eukaryota; Fungi; Ascomycota; Dothideomycetes; Dothideales; Zalariaceae.